AUCGCUUCUUGGCCUUUUGGCUAAGAUCAAGUGAAGAGGGGCCUAGGGCUCUGGGACAAAAGAGAGUUAUCCUUCAUAUUCAUCUUUUGUUCUUUGAAAUGAUUUUAACCCUGUGCAUACAACAUUAUUUUUUCAUUAAACAAGUGGUUGCUUAAGCCACUAAAGUAAAAAUUUCU
The sequence is a small nuclear RNA, 176 nucleotides long. Its record names the gene U2. It matches the Rfam family "U2 spliceosomal RNA". From Rfam's summary of the family: U2 is a small nuclear RNA (snRNA) component of the spliceosome (involved in pre-mRNA splicing). Complementary binding between U2 snRNA (in an area lying towards the 5' end but 3' to hairpin I) and the branchpoint sequence (BPS) of the intron results the bulging out of an unpaired adenosine, on the BPS, which initiates a nucleophilic attack at the intronic 5' splice site, thus starting the first of two transesterification reactions that mediate splicing. The record is from Ensembl.